RNAcentral lists this ribosomal RNA (516 nucleotides) under uncultured bacterium. RNAcentral's name for it is "bacterial SSU rRNA". It matches the Rfam family "Bacterial small subunit ribosomal RNA", at positions 8 to 518 of the family's 1533-position model. The record is from RNAcentral.
AGAGUUUGAUCAUGGCUCAGGAUGAACGCUAGCGGCAGGCCUAAUACAUGCAAGUCGAACGGGAAGGGUCCUUCGGGGCCCUGAGAGUGGCGCACGGGUGCGUAACGCGUAUGCAACCAACCCCUUUCCGGGGGGACAGCCGGUGGAAACGCCGGGUAAUACCCCAUGUCGAUCCAUUUGGGCAUCCAAGAGGAUUGAAAGAUUUCGGUCGGAGAGGGACGGGCAUGCGUCCCAUUAGCUGGUUGGCGGGGCAACGGCCCACCAAGGCGAUGAUGGGUAGGGGAUCUGAGAGGACGGUCCCCCACACUGGUACUGAGACACGGACCAGACUCCUACGGGAGGCAGCAGUAAGGAAUAUUGGGCAAUGGGGGGAACCCUGACCCAAGCCAUGCCGCGUGAGGGAAUAAGGCCCUACGGGUCGUAAACCUCUUUUGCCCGGGGACAAGGACGGGGUCGAGAACUCCGUUUGCGGGUACCGGGCGAAUAAGCAUCGGCUAACUCCGUGCCAGCCGCCGC